ACGCUCUGUAACUCUCGAUUAAAAGGGAAUCAGGUGCAAAUCCCGAACAGUCCCGCUGCUGUGAGUUCCAAAUAUCUCUGAUGGCAAAUCGAGCCACUGUCUUUUGGGUAAAGGAAGAUGGGAAGGCGCUAUCGGAGGGAGCGAGUCAGAAGACCUGCCGUUGUUUU
Molecule: non-coding RNA, 167 nt
Filed under: human gut metagenome
Source: RNAcentral